UGUUUCGGCUAGGGGGCCAUCCCGGCUUACCAACCCGAUGCAAACUGCGAAUACCGGAGAAUGUUAUCACGGGAGACACACGGCGGGUGCUAACGUCCGUCGUGAAGAGGGAAACAACCCAGACCGCCAGCUAAGGUCCCAAAGUCAUGGUUAAGUGGGAAACGAUGUGGGAAGGCCCAGACAGCCAGGAUGUUGGCUUAGAAGCAGCCAUCAUUUAAAGAAAGCGUAAUAGCUCACUGGUCGAGUCGGCCUGCGCGGAAGAUGUAACGGGGCUAAACCAUGCACCGAAGCUGCGGCAGCGAACGUAUCACUUAAAACGAUUCAGAAGCUUACGAUUGACGGAGCGAAGCGACGUCAAAGCGUAUACAAAGUCGAGUCGGUUUAAGGAUACGUUCGUUGGGUAGGGGAGCGUUCUGUAAGCCGUUGAAGGUGUCCUGUGAGGGGUGCUGGAGGUAUCAGAAGUGCGAAUGCUGACAUAAGUAACGAUAAAGCGGGUGAAAAGCCCGCUCGCCGGAAGACCAAGGGUUCCUGUCCAACGUUAAUCGGGGCAGGGUGAGUCGACCCCUAAGGCGAGGCCGAAAGGCGUAGUCGAUGGGAAACGGGUUAAUAUUCCCGUACUUGGUGUUACUGCGAAGGGGGGACGGAGAAGGCUAUGUUGGCCGGGCGACGGUAGUCCCGGUUUAAGCGUGUAGGUGUGUGUUCCAGGUAAAUCCGGUUCACUUUAACACUGAGGCGUGAUGACGAGGCACCACGGUGCUGAAGCAACAAAUGCCCUGCUUCCAGGAAAAGCCUCUAAGCAUCAGGUAACAUCAAAUCGUACCCCAAACCGACACAGGUGGUCAGGUAGAGAAUACCAAGGCGCUUGAGAGAACUCGGGUGAAGGAACUAGGCAAAAUGGUGCCGUAACUUCGGGAGAAGGCACGCUGACACGUAGGUGAAGUGAUUUACUCACGGAGCUGAAGUCAGUCGAAGAUACCAGCUGGCUGCAACUGUUUAUUAAAAACACAGCACUGUGCAAACACGAAAGUGGACGUAUACGGUGUGACGCCUGCCCGGUGCCGGAAGGUUAAUUGAUGGGGUCAGCGCAAGCGAAGCUCCUGAUCGAAGCCCCGGUAAACGGCGGCCGUAACUAUAACGGUCCUAAGGUAGCGAAAUUCCUUGUCGGGUAAGUUCCGACCUGCACGAAUGGCGUAAUGAUGGCCAGGCUGUCUCCACCCGAGACUCAGUGAAAUUGAACUCGCUGUGAAGAUGCAGUGUACCCGCGGCAAGACGGAAAGACCCCGUGAACCUUUACUAUAGCUUGACACUGAACAUUGAGCCUUGAUGUGUAGGAUAGGUGGGAGGCUUUGAAGCGUGGACGCCAGUCUGCGUGGAGCCGACCUUGAAAUACCACCCUUUAAUGUUUGAUGUUCUAACGUGGACCCGUAAUCCGGGUUGCGGACAGUGUCUGGUGGGUAGUUUGACUGGGGCGGUCUCCUCCUAAAGAGUAACGGAGGAGCACGAAGGUUGGCUAAUCCUGGUCGGACAUCAGGAGGUUAGUGCAAUGGCAUAAGCCAGCUUGACUGCGAGCGUGACGGCGCGAGCAGGUGCGAAAGCAGGUCAUAGUGAUCCGGUGGUUCUGAAUGGAAGGGCCAUCGCUCAACGGAUAAAAGGUACUCCGGGGAUAACAGGCUGAUACCGCCCAAGAGUUCAUAUCGACGGCGGUGUUUGGCACCUCGAUGUCGGCUCAUCACAUCCUGGGGCUGAAGUAGGUCCCAAGGGUAUGGCUGUUCGCCAUUUAAAGUGGUACGCGAGCUGGGUUUAGAACGUCGUGAGACAGUUCGGUCCCUAUCUGCCGUGGGCGCUGGAAGACUGAGGGGGGCUGCUCCUAGUACGAGAGGACCGGAGUGGACGCAUCACUGGUGUUCGGGUUGUCAUGCCAAUGGCACUGCCCGGUAGCUAAAUGCGGAAAAGAUAAGUGCUGAAAGCAUCUAAGCACGAAACUUGCCCCGAGAUGAGUCUUCCCUGAGACUUUGAGUCUCCUGAAGGAACGUUAAAGACGAUGACGUUGAUAGGCCGGGUGUGUAAGCGCAGCGAUGCGUUGAGCUAACCGGUACUAAUGAACCGUGAGG
This 2111-nucleotide ribosomal RNA is filed under the name Salmonella enterica subsp. diarizonae. RNAcentral's name for it is "partial 23S ribosomal RNA". It matches the Rfam family "Bacterial large subunit ribosomal RNA", at positions 911 to 2916 of the family's 2925-position model. The record is from RNAcentral. Lineage: Bacteria; Pseudomonadati; Pseudomonadota; Gammaproteobacteria; Enterobacterales; Enterobacteriaceae.